This 516-nucleotide ribosomal RNA is filed under the name uncultured Glomus. RNAcentral's name for it is "SSU rRNA". It matches the Rfam family "Eukaryotic small subunit ribosomal RNA", at positions 569 to 1088 of the family's 1831-position model. Lineage: Eukaryota; Fungi; Glomeromycota; Glomeromycetes; Glomerales; Glomeraceae. The record is from RNAcentral.
AGCAGCCGCGGUAAUUCCAGCUCCAAUAGCGUAUAUUAAAGUUGUUGCAGUUAAAAAGCUCGUAGUUGAAUUUCGGGGUCAGUAGGUCGGUCAUGCCACAGGUAUGCACUGGUCUCACUGAUUCCUCCUUCCUGAUGAACCGUAAUGCCAUUAAUUUGGUGUUGCGGGGAGACUGGACUGUUACUUUGAAAAAUUAGAGUGUUUAAAGCAGGCUAACGCUUGAAUACAUUAGCAUGGAAUAACGGAAUAGGACGUUCGAUCUUAUUUUGUUGGUUUCUAAGAUUGACGUAAUGAUUAAUAGGGAUAGUUGGGGGCAUUAGUAUUCAAUUGUCAGAGGUGAAAUUCUUGGAUUUAUUGAAGACUAACUACUGCGAAAGCAUUUGCCAAGGAUGUUUUCAUUAAUCAAGAACGAAAGUUAGGGGAUCGAAGACGAUCAGAUACCGUCGUAGUCUUAACCAUAAACUAUGCCGACUAGGGAUCGGAUGAUGUUAAUUUUUAAUGACUCAUUCGGCGCCG